UUGUAGUGUUUUCUCGUUUUGCUCGUAGUUUUCGAAUCGUAGCCCCGUUUUGAUCGUGUCCUACAUGAGACUUGCUUAGAAUCUUGUGUAGAUUCAUUUCCUCUUGCUGGUUGUUUGUGUUGAUGUGCUCGUAGCCGCCGUUGCACACAUUUUGCAUUCAUGCCAUCAUAUCUUGCGGUGCUUGUAUCUUUUGAACCGUAGCUCCGUUGGAGAUGUUCUUUACGUGUAGGUUGCUUGCCUUGACGCGUAGGAUCACAUGAACCUAUUUGUUUUGCUGUUUAACAACUAAUUAAGGUGUUAAUUC
Molecule: long non-coding RNA, 304 nt
Filed under: Hordeum vulgare
Lineage: Eukaryota; Viridiplantae; Streptophyta; Magnoliopsida; Poales; Poaceae
Description: long non-coding RNA (HVUL_LNC015870)
Source: RNAcentral